This 255-nucleotide ribosomal RNA is filed under the name uncultured bacterium. Its description in RNAcentral is "partial small subunit ribosomal RNA". It matches the Rfam family "Bacterial small subunit ribosomal RNA", at positions 26 to 286 of the family's 1533-position model. The record is from RNAcentral.
AGGACGAACGCUGGCGGCGUGCUUAACACAUGCAAGUCGAGCGGAAAGGCCCUUCGGGGUACUCGAGCGGCGAACGGGUGAGUAACACGUGAGCAACCUGCCCCUGGCUCUGGGAUAGCCUCCGGAAACGGGGAUUAAUACCGGACAUUCACUUCCUUCCGCAUGGUUGGUGGUGGAAAGUUUUUCGGCCGGGGAGGGCUCGCGGCCUAUCAGCUUGUUGGCGGGGUAACGGCCCACCAAGGCGACGACGGGUAG